Molecule: ribosomal RNA, 788 nt
Filed under: uncultured bacterium
Lineage: Bacteria
Description: bacterial SSU rRNA
Rfam family: Bacterial small subunit ribosomal RNA
Source: RNAcentral
GAGUUUGAUCCUGGCUCAGAUUGAACGCUGGCGGCAGGCCUAACACAUGCAAGUCGAGCGGUAACAUUUCUAGCUUGCUAGAAGAUGACGAGCGGCGGACGGGUGAGUAAUGCUUGGGAACAUGCCUUGAGGUGGGGGACAACAGUUGGAAACGACUGCUAAUACCGCAUAAUGUCUACGGACCAAAGGGGGCUUCGGCUCUCGCCUUUAGAUUGGCCCAAGUGGGAUUAGCUAGUUGGUGAGGUAAUGGCUCACCAAGGCGACGAUCCCUAGCUGGUUUGAGAGGAUGAUCAGCCACACUGGGACUGAGACACGGCCCAGACUCCUACGGGAGGCAGCAGUGGGGAAUAUUGCACAAUGGGCGCAAGCCUGAUGCAGCCAUGCCGCGUGUGUGAAGAAGGCCUUCGGGUUGUAAAGCACUUUCAGUCAGGAGGAAAGGUUAGUAGUUAAUACCUGCUAGCUGUGACGUUACUGACAGAAGAAGCACCGGCUAACUCCGUGCCAGCAGCCGCGGUAAUACGGAGGGUGCGAGCGUUAAUCGGAAUUACUGGGCGUAAAGCGUACGCAGGCGGUUUGUUAAGCGAGAUGUGAAAGCCCCGGGCUCAACCUGGGAACUGCAUUUCGAACUGGCAAACUAGAGUGUGAUAGAGGGUGGUAGAAUUUCAGGUGUAGCGGUGAAAUGCGUAGAGAUCUGAAGGAAUACCGAUGGCGAAGGCAGCCACCUGGGUCAACACUGACGCUCAUGUACGAAAGCGUGGGGGAGCAAACAGGAUUAGAUACCCUGGUAG